Coregonus clupeaformis (lake whitefish) is the source of this 205-nucleotide long non-coding RNA. RefSeq lists it as uncharacterized. NCBI's taxonomy places the organism in Eukaryota, Metazoa, Chordata, Actinopteri, Salmoniformes, Salmonidae. The transcript is spliced from 2 exons. The record is from RefSeq and is a predicted model, not a curated record.
GGUCUAAAGUAGUGCACUAUAUAGGGAAUAGGGUGCCAUUUGAGACACAGCACUGGAAACUCUGCUGAUGUUGUGAUGUCAUACACAGUGAUGAUGUCAUCCAUCAGGGCUGGACACCAUUGGCUGGCGACUACUGAUGAGAUCAUUGAUUAAUAAAGGUAAACAUCGAACAAGGUAAACAUCUAGGAGCAUGGAACACUAUCAU